RNAcentral lists this ribosomal RNA (460 nucleotides) under uncultured bacterium. RNAcentral describes it as "partial 16S ribosomal RNA". It matches the Rfam family "Bacterial small subunit ribosomal RNA", at positions 338 to 795 of the family's 1533-position model. The record is from RNAcentral.
CCUACGGGGGACAGCAGUGAGGAAUAUUGGUCAAUGGGCGCGAGCCUGAACCAGCCAAGUAGCGUGAAGGAUGACUGCCCUACGUGUUGUAAACUUCUUUUAUAAAGGAAUAAAGUGAGGCACGUGUGCCGUUUUGUAUGUACUUUAUGAAUAAGGAUCGGCUAACUCCGUGCCAGCAGCCGCGGUAAUACGGAGGAUCCGAGCGUUAUCCGGAUUUAUUGGGUUUAAAGGGAGCGUAGAUGGGUUGUUAAGUCAGUUGUGAAAGUUUGCGGCUCAACCGUAAAAUUGCAAUUGAUACUGGCAGCCUUGAGUACAGUGGAGGUAGGCGGAAUUCGUGGUGUAGCGGUGAAAUGCUUAGAUAUCACGAAGAACUCCGAUUGCGAAGGCAGCUUACUAAACUGCCACUGACGCUGAAGCUCGAAAGUGUGGGUAUCGAACAGGAUUAGAUACCCGAGUAGUC